UACGUAGGGCGCAAGCGUUAUCCGGAAUUAUUGGGCGUAAAGAGCUCGUAGGCGGUUUGUCGCGUCUGCCGUGAAAGUCCGGGGCUCAACUCCGGAUCUGCGGUGGGUACGGGCAGACUAGAGUGAUGUAGGGGAGACUGGAAUUCCUGGUGUAGCGGUGAAAUGCGCAGAUAUCAGGAGGAACACCGGUGGCGAAGGCGGGUCUCUGGGCAGUAACUGACGCUGAGAAGCGAAAGCGUGGGGAGCGAACAGG
Molecule: ribosomal RNA, 253 nt
Filed under: uncultured bacterium
Lineage: Bacteria
Description: partial 16S ribosomal RNA
Rfam family: Bacterial small subunit ribosomal RNA
Source: RNAcentral